Molecule: ribosomal RNA, 433 nt
Filed under: uncultured bacterium
Lineage: Bacteria
Description: partial 16S ribosomal RNA
Rfam family: Bacterial small subunit ribosomal RNA
Source: RNAcentral
AGCGAACGCUGGCGGCAGGCCUAACACAUGCAAGUCGAACGGACCCUUCGGGGUUAGUGGCGGACGGGUGAGUAACACGUGGGAACGUGCCUUUAGGUUCGGAAUAGCUCCUGGAAACGGGUGGUAAUGCCGAAUGUGCCCUUCGGGGGAAAGAUUUAUCGCCUUUAGAGCGGCCCGCGUCUGAUUAGCUAGUUGGUGAGGUAACGGCUCACCAAGACGACGAUCAGUAGCUGGUCUGAGAGGAUGACCAGCCACACUGGGACUGAGACACGGCCCAGACUCCUACGGGAGGCAGCAGUGGGGAAUCUUGCGCAAUGGGCGAAAGCCUGACGCAGCCAUGCCGCGUGAAUGAUGAAGGUCUUAGGAUUGUAAAAUUCUUUCACCGGGGACGAUAAUGACGGUACCCGGAGAAGAAGCCCCGGCUAACUUCGUG